CCAAAUUCAGUAUUAUACAUGGAGCUUAUGUACUGGGUUACCAGGUUUUUUUUAGAAAAAUUCUACCAUUCAAUGUUGUCUUUUUGUCUGUGCUUUAUGGGUAAUAUGGACUGAAAGAAACAAAUUGGUCAUGAGGGGCAAAGGAAAACAAGUUUAGCCAUAACGAAUUUUAUUAGGAAUUAUGUUCAAAAACUAGAUGGUUGAAUAAUUCCAUACAUGUUCAAAGAAUGGAGUUGAAAAAGUGGCAGCCAACAGAGAACCCAUUUGUGAAAAUAAACUUUGAUGCAGCAUACAGAAAACAUGAAAGCAAAUCUUGCUCAGUGAUUGCAAUUAGAGAUUCUAUGGGGCGGGUAUUGAGUUUUAGGGUUGAGUUGAAUGAUAAUGUACCCUUGGUGUUCGCAGUAGAGGCUAUUGCAUGCGUUCAACUGGGCCUGGAUCUGGGGUUUACGACAGUCGAAAUUGAAGGAGAUGCCCUAUCUAUUGUAAAAAAAAUACACAAAGGAGGGGUGAUAAAUAAAAAAUUUGUGCUUAUAUUAGAGAUGGGCAAGGGCUGGGUAAAAGAUUUCAAACCUGUCAAUUUAAACAUGGGCACAAAUUAACGAAUUGGGUUGCUCAUUUGCUGGCUGCAAAAGGUCUAAAGAAAGGGGAUCGAUGCUUGAUGAGAAAUGGGUUUCCUGAGUAUGUUAGAGAAUAAGUGGAAAUGGAUCAUAGGGGAUAAUGUUUUUGGUCUGGGUUUUUUCUUAGUUUGGCAAGUUGGGGGACAAGAAGCAUAUAGAGAAGAGAGAUAAAUGGAAGUCGGAUGGUUUCUAGUAAUUGGAAAAAAAAAAAAGAUAAAUUAUUGAGGGGUUACUAUCUAGUUGUUGGAUCACAGGAGUUGUGUCGCAUUAAUUGCUUCAAGAGUAAGCUCCUUUCUUUGUUGGAUUAUUGGGCUGAUUGGGUUAGCCCAACUUUAUUGUUUUGCCCGUUUGUUG
RNAcentral lists this long non-coding RNA (971 nucleotides) under Gossypium barbadense (sea-island cotton). RNAcentral's name for it is "long non-coding RNA (GBAR_LNC005245)". The record is from RNAcentral. Lineage: Eukaryota; Viridiplantae; Streptophyta; Magnoliopsida; Malvales; Malvaceae.